Molecule: long non-coding RNA, 1698 nt
Organism: Astatotilapia calliptera (eastern happy)
Lineage: Eukaryota; Metazoa; Chordata; Actinopteri; Cichliformes; Cichlidae
Source: Ensembl
CAGGUGCUAUAUCACAGGAAGUGAUAAGGGAAAAAAUGGCUAUUGUACUGAAAGGAGCAAAACCCCCAUUUUAUAUAGUAAGAAAACUACUAAUUAUCCUAAUGUCUUAAUGGGCUAACAGUUGACCAGUAAUCCUGUCACCUAUAGUCAUUAUUAUGGAUAACAUAAAUAUCAGAACCCCAGAGAAGUCAAGCAUGUCAGUAGUUUAUUUAUUUAUUACUCUCAGUUUUAUUUAGGUUUGACCAAAGUGUCACUAAACUCAUAUUUUAAGUUAUUCAGAUUAUUAAAAGAUUAAAAACAUGACACCAUGAACACCGCAGCAUCAACACAUCCACCCACAGAGGAGUCGCCCACCCUCCCGCAGCGUUACGGAAAUAUCCUUUCGCCACCUUUGGACAGUGCAGAAACAAACACCGAGGCGACAUGUGAGCGACAAAAGUGUGUGCGAAAUGUCAGCGAGAUGGUGAAGAAAAAGAAAAAAGUUAAACUUACGUGUUUAUUUCAUGUGUAUCUGUUCAAGGUCGUGGUCGGCGCUGAAGUUUCCCUCAGCAAACUUGAGGCUCAGCUGAACGGCUGGUCGUUCCCUUUGGUCAGCUUGAGAGUGAGGCAUCGUGGGACAUGUAGUUUUUCCAAUGACGCGCUAUAUUCCCAAUUUAAAAAAAAACUUAGAAAUUUUACAAGCUGCUGAUCAAUUCAUUGAUUUGUUUUGGGGUCUGUAUGUCUAUUUGCAUGUCUGUCCGUUUGUGUGAUUAUCUGCAAAAUUACACCAGGCUAAAUUUCAUGAAAUUUGGAGACGUGCAAGGUCGGCAAAAGAAGAACACAUUUGGAGUGAACCCAGAUCAGUUUCCUUGAAAUUGCAAAAACAGUCUGUGGGGUAGAAAUGGGCGGAUCAAUCCAAAUAUCUUAGUAUCCAUACUAACACUUGUAUCAGUAUUAGAUCAAUACUUGCACAAAAGGAUCAAUACUUUGUUUCCACCCUCUAAGUUCAGUAUUUAACUCCUUAUAAUCUGUUAAAUAAAUGCUUUUAUUUUGGAAUUGAAAAAAAUAUAUAAAAAUAAAAAUAUAUGGUAUCAAAUCAGUAUAAAAAUUUGGACAGAGAAGUGUUAAAAAACAAGAAAAAAUAAUAACUCAAUCACAUCCUACAGUAAAAAUAAAAGACUAUAGUAUUUCGUUGACCAUUCAACCCCAGAGAAACAUCCAAACACUUUCAUUUCCCCUGGUGUCAUCUUUUGCAUCUUUUAAAUGACAGGAUAGCAUGUGCAAAUUGAUUCUGUUGAAGCAACUCGUCACAUGAAAAGUAUUUCAAGCCAGAGAAAUCACAUCACACCCUGUGGAUAUUUUUAGGCAUCCUAUCUGACGCUGUCUGAGCUUCCACAGGGUGUGACAGACAGGUAACAAACUUUCACUGUUGAAUUAGAUUACAAAAAGCUGUGAAUGCAACGAGAUGCUCCUCUAAUAGGUAAAUACAUUUUAGCAUUUAUUUGACACUUGGAAUAAACACAUUUCAGAUUUUUUUGAUUUGCAUGUCUCCUGCGUAACCACCUCUAUUAGCGACAGCAACCUCUCUCUGUCUGAUACCUGUCGUGUUGUUAUUAUGGAAGGGAUGUCUGUAGCAGCUAUAUGUUAUUUUAAGCUGCCUCUGUUAUUUUAUCUACGUCUUGCCAAGCUAUAAAGGACUCCAACAUGUGAGCAAAUGCC